RNAcentral lists this ribosomal RNA (527 nucleotides) under uncultured bacterium. Its description in RNAcentral is "partial 16S ribosomal RNA". It matches the Rfam family "Bacterial small subunit ribosomal RNA", at positions 355 to 874 of the family's 1533-position model. The record is from RNAcentral.
UGGGGAAUUUUGGACAAUGGGCGAAAGCCUGAUCCAGCAAUGCCGCGUGUGUGAAGAAGGCCUUCGGGUUGUAAAGCACUUUUGUCCGGAAAGAAAUCCUUGGCUCUAAUACAGUCGGGGGAUGACGGUACCGGAAGAAUAAGCACCGGCUAACUACGUGCCAGCAGCCGCGGUAAUACGUAGGGUGCAAGCGUUAAUCGGAAUUACUGGGCGUAAAGCGUGCGCAGGCGGUUUGCUAAGACCGAUGUGAAAUCCCCGGGCUCAACCUGGGAACUGCAUUGGUGACUGGCAGGCUAGAGUAUGGCAGAGGGGGGUAGAAUUCCACGUGUAGCAGUGAAAUGCGUAGGAGAUGUGGAGGAAUACCGAUGGCGAAGGCAGCCCCCUGGGCCAAUACUGACGCUCAUGCACGAAAGCGUGGGGAGCAAACAGGAUUAGAUACCCUGGUAGUCCACGCCCUAAACGAUGUCAACUAGUUGUUGGGGAUUCAUUUCCUUAGUAACGUAGCUAACGCGUGAAGUUGACCGCCU